This 513-nucleotide ribosomal RNA is filed under the name Flavobacterium sp. RNAcentral describes it as "bacterial SSU rRNA". It matches the Rfam family "Bacterial small subunit ribosomal RNA", at positions 124 to 635 of the family's 1533-position model. Lineage: Bacteria; Pseudomonadati; Bacteroidota; Flavobacteriia; Flavobacteriales; Flavobacteriaceae. The record is from RNAcentral.
AUCUACCUUUUACAGAGGGAUAGCCCAGAGAAAUUUGGAUUAAUACCUCAUAGUAUAUCACAAUCGCAUGAUUGAGUUAUUAAAGUCACAACGGUAAAAGAUGAGCAUGCGUCCCAUUAGCUAGUUGGUAAGGUAACGGCUUACCAAGGCUACGAUGGGUAGGGGUCCUGAGAGGGAGAUCCCCCACACUGGUACUGAGACACGGACCAGACUCCUACGGGAGGCAGCAGUGAGGAAUAUUGGACAAUGGGCGCAAGCCUGAUCCAGCCAUGCCGCGUGCAGGAUGACGGUCCUAUGGAUUGUAAACUGCUUUUAUACGAGAAGAAACACUGCUUCGUGAAGCAGCUUGACGGUAUCGUAAGAAUAAGGAUCGGCUAACUCCGUGCCAGCAGCCGCGGUAAUACGGAGGAUCCAAGCGUUAUCCGGAAUCAUUGGGUUUAAAGGGUCCGUAGGCGGUUUGGUAAGUCAGUGGUGAAAGCCCAUCGCUCAACGGUGGAACGGCCAUUGAUACUG